AGAAAUAUCGUCUAAUCGGUAAGACACUGCUGCACCCAAGCAGAGACGCAAGUUCGAGUCUUGCUAUUUCUU
RNAcentral lists this transfer RNA (72 nucleotides) under Caudoviricetes sp. Its description in RNAcentral is "tRNA-Gly". It matches the Rfam family "tRNA". From Rfam's summary of the family: Transfer RNA (tRNA) molecules are approximately 80 nucleotides in length. Their secondary structure includes four short double-helical elements and three loops (D, anti-codon, and T loops). The record is from RNAcentral. Lineage: Duplodnaviria; Heunggongvirae; Uroviricota; Caudoviricetes.